UGCAAGUCGAACGGUAACAUUGGUGCUUGCACCAGAUGACGAGUGGCGCACGGGUGCGUAACGCGUAUGCAACCUACCUUUUACUAGAGUAUAGCCCAGAGAAAUUUGGAUUAAUCCUCUAUAAUAUCUUUUAAUUUCAUGAUUAUUAGAUUAAAGUUUUAAUGGUAAAAGAUGGGCAUGCGUCCUAUUAGUUUGUAGGUGAGGUAACGGCUCACCUAGACUACGAUAGGUAGGGGCCCUGAGAGGGGGAUCCCCCACACUGGUACUGAGACACGGACCAGACUCCUACGGGAGGCAGCAGUAAGGAAUAUUGGACAAUGGACGAAAGUCUGAUCCAGCCAUGCCGCGUGCAGGAUGAAAGCCCUAUGGGUUGUAAACUGCUUUUAUACAGGAAGAAAAACUUCGACGUGUCGGAGCUUGACGGUACUGUAAGAAUAAGGAUCGGCUAACUCCGUGCCAGCAGCCGCGGUAAUACGGAGGAUCCAAGCGUUAUCCGGAAUCAUUGGGUUUAAAGGGUCCGCAGGCGGUCUUUUAAGUCAGAGGUGAAAGCCUACAGCUCAACUGUAGAACGGCCUUUGAUACUGAAAGACUUGAGUUAUUGUGAAGUGGUUAGAAUGUGUGGUGUAGCGGUGAAAUGCAUAGAUAUCACACAGAAUACCGAUNGCGAAGGCAGAUCACUAACAAUAUACUGACGCUCAUGGACGAAAGCGUGGGGAGCGAACAGGAUUAGAUACCCUGGUAGUCCACGCCGUAAACGAUGGAUACUAGCUGUUCGUCUAACAUUGGUUAGAUGAGUGGCUAAGCGAAAGUGAUAAGUAUCCCACCUGGGGAGUACGGUCGCAAGACUGAAACUCAAAGGAAUUGACGGGGGCCCGCA
RNAcentral lists this ribosomal RNA (877 nucleotides) under uncultured bacterium. RNAcentral describes it as "bacterial SSU rRNA". It matches the Rfam family "Bacterial small subunit ribosomal RNA", at positions 56 to 925 of the family's 1533-position model. The record is from RNAcentral.